This 417-nucleotide non-coding RNA is filed under the name Brenneria goodwinii. Lineage: Bacteria; Pseudomonadati; Pseudomonadota; Gammaproteobacteria; Enterobacterales; Pectobacteriaceae. The record is from RNAcentral.
AGAUUUUUUAUCGUGGUUGAUAAUGGCUCGAUGUAAAGGCUGUUGUUAUUUAAUGCGAUAUCCCCGCCGGCUUUGACUUCCCCGCCGGCCAGCGGAAUAUCCAGAUGCAGCGACCCCUGCACCGCGCCGCCGAUCUGUAGCGCUUCAAGCGCGCUCCCCAGCGAGGAUUUCAUCGGCGUCUGUUGGAAAUAAUCACCGAUAUCCGCUCCCUGCCCUUCCAACUCGCCGUCGACCAGCAAAUGUUCCUGGUGAUAAUCAGGGAUGACGGCGCGGAUAUUCCUGCCCUCCACUUUUCCCAACCAGAUUUGCGGCGCCAGCAUCCAUAAGCCGUUAUUGGCAAAAUCAAGAUUGAUAUCCAGCUGCGUUAACGCAGGCCAGCCCGGUUGAAACUCGAAGGUCGAAUUUUUGACCGGCACC